UACGUAGGGGGCAAGCGUUGUCCGGAAUCAUUGGGCGUAAAGAGCGUGUAGGCGGCUCGGUAAGUCCGCUGUGAAAGUCCAGGGCUCAACCCUGGAAUGCCAGUGGAAACUGUCGAGCUAGAGUCCGGAAGAGGCGAGUGGAAUUCCUGGUGUAGCGGUGAAAUGUGUAGAGAUCGGGAGGAACACCGGUGGCGAAGGCGGGUCUCUGGGCAAUUCCUGACGCUGAGGCGCGAAAGCGUGGGGAGCAAACGGG
Molecule: ribosomal RNA, 253 nt
Filed under: uncultured bacterium
Lineage: Bacteria
Description: partial 16S ribosomal RNA
Rfam family: Bacterial small subunit ribosomal RNA
Source: RNAcentral